GACGAACGCUGGCGGCGUGCUUAACACAUGCAAGUCGAACGGAAAGGCCCUGCUUGCAGGGUACUCGAGUGGCGAACGGGUGAGUAACACGUGGGUGAUCUGCCCUGCACUUCGGGAUAAGCCUGGGAAACUAGGUCUAAUACCGGAUAGGAGCCAUUUUUAGUGUGAUGGUUGGAAAGUUUUUUCGGUGUAGGAUGAGCUCGCGGCCUAUCAGCUUGUUGGUGGGGUAAUGGCCUACCAAGGCGGCGACGGGUAGCCGGCCUGAGAGGGUGGACGGCCACAUUGGGACUGAGAUACGGCCCAGACUCCUACGGGAGGCAGCAGUGGGGAAUAUUGCACAAUGGGCGCAAGCCUGAUGCAGCGACGCCGCGUGGGGGAGGACGGCCUUCGGGUUGUAAACUCCUUUCGCUAGGGACGAAGCUUUUUGUGACGGUACCUAGAGAAGAAGCACCGGCUAACUACAUG
Molecule: ribosomal RNA, 465 nt
Filed under: uncultured bacterium
Lineage: Bacteria
Description: partial 16S ribosomal RNA
Rfam family: Bacterial small subunit ribosomal RNA
Source: RNAcentral